UCAGUUGCGAUCUACUCGGCGUUCCGCGCGCCGGAUAACCGUAGUAAUUCUAGGGCUAAUACGUGCGAAGCGCCCGAAGCCGCGAGGCGACGGGCGUUCUCGCCGGAUGUAGGAACCGACCCGGGGGACCGCCGGGGGCAACCCGGCGCCCCCGAGACGGGGCGAACCACGGUGAAAUGACGGAUCGUCGGCCCCCGCGCCGGCGACUCGCCGAAUGAGUUUCUGACCUAUCAACUCGAGACGGCGGGGUAGAGGCCCGCCGCGGUAACGACGGGUAACGGGGAAUCAGGGUUCGAUUCCGGAGAGGGAGCCCCGAGAAACGGCUACCACUUCCAAGGAAGGCAGCAGGCGCGCAACUUACCCUAAUCUCGAUUCGAGGAGGUAGUGACAAGAAAUACCGAUGCGGGACCCUACGGGUGCCGCGUUCGGAAUGAGUACGAUUCGAACCACCUAACGAGGAACGAUCGGAGGGCAAGUCUGGUGCCAGCAGCCGCGGUAAUUCCAGCUCCAAUAGCGUACGUUAAAGUUGCUGCAGUUAAAAAAGCUCGUAGUUGAAC
This 557-nucleotide ribosomal RNA is filed under the name uncultured eukaryote. Its description in RNAcentral is "bacterial SSU rRNA". It matches the Rfam family "Eukaryotic small subunit ribosomal RNA", at positions 106 to 639 of the family's 1831-position model. The record is from RNAcentral.